RNAcentral lists this ribosomal RNA (497 nucleotides) under uncultured bacterium. RNAcentral's name for it is "partial 16S ribosomal RNA". It matches the Rfam family "Bacterial small subunit ribosomal RNA", at positions 28 to 507 of the family's 1533-position model. The record is from RNAcentral.
GAUGAACGCUGGCGGCGUGCCUAAUACAUGCAAGUCGAGCGGAAGGACGCGGAGCUUGCGUCUCUGAUGUUAGCGGCGGACGGGUGAGUAACGCGUGUAUAACCUACCUAUAAGACUGGGAUAACUUCGAGAAACCGGAGCUAAUACCGUAUGAGAUUUUGCACCGCAGGGUUCAAAGGUGAAAUACGGUGUUGCGGUCACGAAUAGAUGCUUCUCCGCUGCAUUAGCUAGUUGGUAAGGUAACGGCUUACGAAGGCAACGAUGCAUAGGCGAACUGAGAGGCUGAUCGGCCACACUGGAACUUAGACACCGUCAAUACUACUAAGGGAGGCACCAGUCGGGAACCUUACGCAACAGGCGAGAGCCUGACGGAGCAACGGCGCGUGAGUGAUGAAGGCCUUCGGAUCGUAAAACUCUGUUAUUAGGGAAGAACCUCUGUGUCAGUAAACGUGGCCAUCUUGACGGUACCUAAUAAGAAAGCCACGGCUAACUACGUG